Molecule: long non-coding RNA, 749 nt
Organism: Vicia villosa (hairy vetch)
Lineage: Eukaryota; Viridiplantae; Streptophyta; Magnoliopsida; Fabales; Fabaceae
Exons: 3
Source: RefSeq, a predicted model, not a curated record
AGUUUUGAUUCCGUUGAACCAACAGAAGCUUUUGUUGCAGUCGAUUACCUGUGCUAAUAAGAUAUCCAAGUUGUUCUUCCCAGCGUCGUCACAAAAUUACUGGAAGAUUACAUCCUCCCAGAUUAUCAAGUGAUGGACAAAGAGUGGACUAAAUUACCGUGGUUUAGUCAAGAGUACAUCAACGGUGUUACUCGAUUUUUAGACUUUUCCUUCACUAAUGGAAGACCUCAAGGAGAUGAGCUUCUAUGCCCUUGUGCUAAGUGUAAAAAUAUAUAUUGGAAAACAAGGAAUAUUAUUAAGGAUCACCUAAUAGCCAAAGGUUUUCUAAACAGUUAUGACGUUUGGUUGCACCAUGGGGAGAAACUACAAAGGUCUAUGGAAAUUGGUGAUGGGAUGGAAGAUCAAGAGGGAUCACAUGAUGACAUUCCUAGCUUAUUGCAUGAUAUAUAUGGAGAUAGGGCAGAAGCACACGAAGUUCAUGAAGGUCCCAAUGACGAGGCUAGAACGUUUUACAAUUUGAUUAAAGAGGGGGAACAAGAAUUGUACCCUGGAUGCAAAGACUUAUCUUCGUUAUCAUUCACGAUUCGACUCUACUUGUUGAAAUGUCUCCACGGCUGGAGCAAUACGUCAUUCACUGCCCUAUUAGAAUUGUUGAAAGAAGCAAUGCCUGAUUUGAACAUUCCGGUAUCAUUUUACAAGACAAAAGCCAGGAUAUAUGGUUUAGGCCUUGAUUAUAAGAAGAUAGAUGC